Molecule: ribosomal RNA, 548 nt
Filed under: Aspergillus ruber
Lineage: Eukaryota; Fungi; Ascomycota; Eurotiomycetes; Eurotiales; Aspergillaceae
Description: eukaryotic LSU rRNA
Rfam family: 5.8S ribosomal RNA (bases 86-239)
Source: RNAcentral
GCCCUCUGGGUCCAACCUCCCAUCCGUGUCUAUCUGUAUGUGCAGCUAAGUUUGCAGUCUGAGUUUUUAGUUAAACAAUAAUUAAAACUUUCAACAACGGAUCUCUUGGUUCCGGCAUCGAUGAAGAACGCAGCGAAAUGCGAUAAUUAAUGUGAAUUGCAGAAUUCAGUGAAUCAUCGAGUCUUUGAACGCACAUUGCGCCCCCUGGUAUUCCGGGGGGCAUGCCUGUCCGAGCGUCAUUGCUGCCCUCAAGCACGGCUUGUGUGUUGGGCUUCCGUCCCUGGUAACGGGGACGGGCCCAAAAGGCAGUGGCGGCACCAUGUCUGGUCCUCGAGCGUAUGGGGCUUUGUCACCCGCUCCCGUAGGUCCAGCUGGCAGCUAGCCUCGCAACCAAUCUUUUUAACCAGGUUGACCUCGGAUCAGGUAGGGAUACCCGCUGAACUUAAGCAUAUCAAUAAGCCGGAGGAACUCGGCCUUACAAUAUAAUAAACGGCUUGAGACCUCAAAUCAGGUAGGAUUACCCGCUGAACUUAAGCAUAUCAAUAAGC